GGAGGGUUAUGCUCAGCGGGAAAGCACGUGCUUAGCAUGCAUGAGGUCCUGGGUUCAAUCCCCAGUCCCUCCA
RNAcentral lists this transfer RNA (73 nucleotides) under Camelus bactrianus (Bactrian camel). It matches the Rfam family "tRNA". From Rfam's summary of the family: Transfer RNA (tRNA) molecules are approximately 80 nucleotides in length. Their secondary structure includes four short double-helical elements and three loops (D, anti-codon, and T loops). Lineage: Eukaryota; Metazoa; Chordata; Mammalia; Artiodactyla; Camelidae. RNAcentral also lists the same sequence under 2 other names. The record is from Rfam by way of RNAcentral.